Alexandromys fortis (reed vole) is the source of this 3049-nucleotide long non-coding RNA. RefSeq lists it as uncharacterized. The record is from RefSeq and is a predicted model, not a curated record. Lineage: Eukaryota; Metazoa; Chordata; Mammalia; Rodentia; Cricetidae. The transcript is spliced from 3 exons.
CGGUACCACACCCCCUUGCCGCAGGGCGGAGAAGGCAUCUUCGGAGAACCAAGUCCCCCCUUUCCCAGUUCUCUUAACAGCUCUGAUGUGGACUCGUGCCCUGCACGUGAGUGACAUCAUGUAGGAAGUUCGAUUAACUUUAUAACGGCAAUGUCAACCUGUGGAGGCGUCUGUGGAAGAUGGCUCCUAGUCUCAUGGAUUUUUACCACAUCCACGGUGGCAUCAGAAAUUCCUUUUCUAUGGUAAAGAAAGAAGCCCAGGUUUCCAAAUGUCUGUCUUGUCCAGAUCUCUUAAGCCUAGACUUCCCAACCUUUAAUCCCAUGAGGUCUCUAUAAAAAAGCACUAAUUGUCAUCAGCAUUUGCAAGGACUUUUUAUUAGACUGCUGGGGAUUCCUCCCUACCCCCACCCCUCACUCCUGCAAGGUAGCCCUGGCUGUCCUGGAGCUCAUUCUGUAGACCAGGCUGGCCUCGAACUCAGAGAUCCGCCUGCCCCUGCCUCCCGAGUGCUGGGAUUAAAGGCGUGCUCCACCACCGUCUCCAGCCUGUCCGGAGAUUAUUAAAUCACCUGUUCUCUGUCUUUGGGGUAACAGAUUGUAAACUCUUUCUGUACUAAAUCCCUGCGGCCUGAUUCAUGUUCCAGGAGCAGCCUAAAGAUUUACUUGCUCUCUCUCUCUCUCUCUCUCUCUCUCUCUCUCUCUCUCUGUGUGUGUGUGUGUGUGUGUGUGUGUGUGUGUGUGUGUGUGUGUGUGUUUGGCUUUCUUGAGACAGGGUUUCUUUGUGUAACAGCCCUAACAGUCCUGGACCCUGCUUUGUAGAAAUCUGCCUGCCUCUGCCUACCAGUGCUGGGAUUAAAGGCGUUUACCACCACACCCAGCUUUGGAUUUGCUUUCAUAAUUCUCCUUUCUGAUAUCUAUUUUAACAGUGUGGGCUUGGAAGAUGCCAAGUUGAGUACUUAUGCCUUCAAAGACUAAGCUCCCGUUUACUGCUGACGGUUACAUGGCACUGAGUGUGCCCUAUCAGAUGUCCUAGGAAAGUUAGGCAGCCCCAAAGCUAUGCUGCUUGCCUAUUGGUCGGCAAGGGAGUCCUACCAUCAGACACUGAAAUCUGCAGUGCCCUAGAUAGACCCACACCUUCUAACUCCAGUAAACAUAGAGAAACCUAAUGGUCACCUAGAAUUCAAAUUUUAAAAGCCACCUUCCAUUUAGCUAGCUCUCUUCAACUUCAAACCCAAGAGAGAUGCAUUCCAGACUUCAUUCCUGCUCUUAUAUGUCAGGGUCCAGCCUCGAUGAGUUCGUACAUUCCAAGGUAGGGGCGUGUGGAUUGGAAAUGUUAGGCAGAAUAUAAAAUAACAAAAUACAGAGACAUAGGAUAGAGUCAGAAGGGCAACCCAGUGAAUACUGAAUCCGCCCAUGCUUAUUUCUUAUGAUCUUUAAAUGCCCCAAUUCAAAAAAGGGGGGGCGGGGAGAAAGCGAGACUUUCUUCUACCACGACACAAGGAACAAAGUGAUUACCAUCUUAAUACCCCAAACACCAAGUAACCACACCAGAGGUCAAGACAUCCUGUUAGGAGCCACACCACAAAUCUCCUGUCAGUAACCUUGAAGAAGCAAGACUAGGUCUGAACUCUGACCUUUAGUCAAGAUGGCACGGAUCCACUAAUGUGGGUUCCUACACUUGUCUCCUCCGCUUUCCUCCUGACCCAUCUUGUAUCGUCAGUUACGACUCCUGAGUCUCCCCUUAACUCCGUUCCUCUCCAGCACCACAGCCAGCCUGCUGUUCGCUCACACCCUCCUCAUCCUCCCUACUCUCACCAGCACAGAUCGGUGCCCCUCCAGCGGAUUCGCCCAGCCACGGGCUUGAGAGUUCUCAUCCACAAAGAUCUCACAGUUUCCCAACUCGGAAUGAAGUCCAAGCUGUCCUUGACAAGCUGUCCUUACAGUCUGGACCCGCCAUGUUCCUCCCCAUUUCUCGGCCUCAUUCUCCCAUCAGUCUCUGCUCCUCCAUUCUUUGAUGCAUGCAUUAAUCUUGCUCUGGGAUAUUGAAGACGCAAGUGAUAAAAACAGGUGCACAUCUCCUCUACCACCAAAGAGCAAGUGGCAAGAGUUCAAAGUCAGUCUUGCUGCGGUGUCUGCAGCGUCUAGACCAGUGCGUGGCCAGCAGCAGAUCCUCCAUAGCUGUUCGUGGAGUGAUCGGAUGAGUUCAUUAAUGAAAGACUGAAUUAAAAUUGUGAGUCCCCUACCGAUUCCAGGUUCCAGGAUGCUAGAUGACGGCACUCUCAUGGGAUCAAAUCAACACACUGAGAAUCUGAUGUUGACUAUAAACAGAACAUUUAUGGAAAGCCUGCCGUUCCUGCCACUGUGUAAGGGACUUGACGCAUCAAGUCAUUGGAUCCAGACAAUAAUCCUGAAAGGGGCAACUGGAUUCUCGGGAGACCUGGGGACCUUUGCUAGGAUGGGGUUUCUGGAGGAACUGCAGCCGUCCAUGCUUGCAAGCUGUGGCUCCUGGAGACGCGUGCAAGAAUGGCAUACAGGAAGUGAAGCCGCUGCUUCCCGGGACACGUGGAGCUCUGCACGUUAGCAGAGCCACUUCGCAGCCCAGAAGACAAGCAGAACCAGGCUGUUAGGGCACGACCUUGGGGACAGGUAGAAUUCAGAGCAUGGGAAACCACACACUUGGCCUAAUCACUGGCUUUCUCACAAAGGACUCAGUAAGGGACUUCCCUUGACCUCAGCGCCCAGAUGAUUACUGAUUAAUCCCAGAAACCAAACAAUGACUGUUUCUAGUAAGCUGAUUGGCCUCACAAAAGGCUUCUUUGGGGACUGAACUUUUCAUGGAGUAGCCAGGCAGGAAAUUUCCCAUAGGUGCAGAGGGAAAUUGCAGUUCCUGCUGGAGUAGAUGUGGAAAUAAACCAAGCCUUCGUGUUUCUUAGCUUUUUGUUACUGUAACAAAUAGCUGAAGUAAACUACGGAUAAAGACAAGGGUCAUUUGGGCUCAAAGGAUUUGGAGAUUCUAGCCCAUGAUCAGGCUGACUCAUUGUUUCUAGGUAUCU